This 139-nucleotide small nucleolar RNA is filed under the name Cervus hanglu yarkandensis (Yarkand deer). RNAcentral's name for it is "Small nucleolar RNA SNORA26 (ENSCHYG00000009855.1)". It matches the Rfam family "Small nucleolar RNA SNORA26". Rfam says of the family: The snoRNA HBI-6 belong to the H/ACA family of snoRNAs, guiding the pseudouridylation of position U4522 if the 28S rRNA. HBI-6 is the human orthologue of mouse MBI-6 snoRNA. The record is from Rfam by way of RNAcentral. Lineage: Eukaryota; Metazoa; Chordata; Mammalia; Artiodactyla; Cervidae.
UUAGCCUCCAACUAAUAAAAAAAUUAAAAAAAAAAAAAAAAGAAGAAGAAGCUAACACAGGAGGGUAAAGAAAGUCUCCAUAAAACCCAGAGAAGAGAUUUUUAGAACUCCUCUCUGGAUCCUGUCUGGAGUCACAACU